UAAUAUUCGACGCCUACUUUAGUCUAGCCAAGUGUUGCCUGAAUUUUUCUUUGUGUUUAUUUUUUGUGUGUGUUGUCAUUGUGCUCUUUAUUUUAUUAAAAACUUUUAUAAUAUGCCUUAUACCUGUGCUUUUCGUGGAUGUCAUUCAAAGACAGGGUGUGGUGUUUCUUUCUUUGCUUUUCCGCAGGAAGAAGAUCGUGCCAAGUUAUGGCUGGCAGCUUGCUAUAGAACAGACUUGUUUUCGAUACCUAGAGAACAACUAACCAGGAACUAUAAGCUCUGUGAGCACCAUUUUGAUGAGAAGUUUUAUAGUGCAGGGCCCUCAAGAAAGCGUUUGUUACCUAACGCGUUACCAACAUUAUUUCCUAAUCCCACAAAAAGAACUUGUGAAGGUGAACAGCUUGAGGAUGGACCGCCAAAAAAAAUCUCAAAGGAAAAGGACAUAAAAAUUCUAGCAGGCCCAAGCACUUCACAAUAUUCAGUGUGCGGGCCCCUCGGCAACCUCCUAUCUAUCGAAAUAGAUAAACCGUCCGAGAAUUCUCCACCAGGCCUUCUUUCUCCGUCAGCUUCUACUCAGACUUCUUCUCAGCUGAGUAGUAACACUUCCCGAAAGCGAAAUCUUCGACUGCAAAUUAAAAAAAUGAGAAAGUUUGGUGUAACUGCUAAAGCACGCCAAAAAGAAGAUCCUGAUGUAAGAGAUUUUAACAGGUUAUGUGACAAAUUUCUAAGUAAACCUUUGGCAUGUGUUAUUAAAACUCAUGUGGCACUAAAGGGCAAGAGACGCAAAUCUCAUAGAUUUUCUAUGGAAUUAAAACAAUUUGCCUUAACAUUGCAUUUUUUAAGCCCCAAGGCAUAUAAAUUCAUAGGUAGUUUGCUUACUCUACCAACAAAAAGAAGUCUUGCAGGAUUUGAAGGAUUUAUGAGAAUUUGAAGGAUUUGCAGAUCUUGGUGAGCAAACCGAAGAACCAUUUAUUUGUGAAAAUGCGUUAGUUAUUAUGGCUAGAGGAUUAUAUUCUUCCUGGAAGCAACCUUUAGCGUAUUUUUUAGUAGGUUCACAAUUAAAAGCCUCCAAAUUAAAAACCAUUAUAGGGGAGCUUAUUCCUAAAUUACUGAAAAUUGGACUUAAAAUAGAAGGUAUUGCUAGUGAUAUGGGGUCAUAUUUUAUUGAACUUUCUAAAUUGUUAGGUGUGACACAUGAAAACCCAGAAUUUCAAUUCGGAGACCAAAACUUGUAUAUUUCGAUCCAUGUCAUCUAGUCAAAGCAACAAGAAAUAAUCUAUUUAAUCAUUCAUUUCACUUUGACGAAAAAAAAACAUCAUGGACUUUCAUAAAUGAUUUCUAUCGUGCAGAUAAACAACAGCUUUAUAGAUGUGCCCCAAAGUUGACAGAUUCCCAUAUAUGUCCCUCAGCAUUUGAAAAAAUGAAAGUAGGUCUCGCUAGCCAAGUUCUUAGCCAUACUGUGGCAAGUGAGAUGAAUACUUAUGUAACUGUAGGUGCACUCCCUGCCGAUGCAUUUGGAACCAUAGAGGUAAUUGAGAAAUUCAAUAACCUCUUUGAUUUAUUAAACUCAAUAUCCUUGGGAGAUCCCUGUAAAUUUACAAAUGUUUAUGAUGGAUCACCAUACCAAAUAGAAUUUUUCCAUGAGAUGUUACUUUUUUUAAACAAAUUAAAAAUUUUUAACUCUAGCAAUAAAGAUAUCACAAAUUCUGUGAAAUUUCGUAAUUGCUGGAUGGUUACAAUCAGAAGCACGAUAAAAAUAUGGGAAAAAUUAUCAACAUUGGGUUACAAGUAUCUCAAGACUAGGAGGUUAAAUACAGAUUGUAUCGAAAAUUUCUUUGGUGCUGUAAGGCAGCAAAGUGGGAAUAAUGUUAAUCCAACACCACUGCAAUUCCAAAGAGCGUUUAAAAAGCUGCUCUGUCAGAAUUACUUACAUUUGGAAAGAAUGAAUUGUAAAAAUGAUUUGGAUAGUAUAUUGAUGAACGUCAAAUCCAUCAAUAUACCGGAAAUUUUCAAUGAAAAAAAAUUUGAAGUUGCAAAAGGUAUUUUAGUUUUGAAGUGCAAACUAUACUUAUAGGACCGACCAUAUUCCCACAGAAAAUGCCUUUCGGUAUGUUUGUGGCUAUAUUAUGAAAAGAGCACUUGAAGUUCAUAUUAAUUGUGAUACCUGCACCAAUUUCGGCAAAAUGUGUGAUGAAAUGGAUAUAAAUAGAUUAUUUCUUCAUUUUAAGGCUUAUAAUUCCAGUAUAUGUAACUUUGGUGGCUUAGAACAUUGAAAGGCUAGAAUUAGUAAACAACAACUUUGUUUGAGUCCAACAUGUGCACAGGGGCAAGAGGGGUGUUUUGUAUACAAACAUAUUUGCCGAUUCUCUGUUGUCAAGUCGACACAAAUUUCCAACGGAGGAAAUUUUUCAGCUAUAUUUUAACAACCAUUAUAACGUUAAUUUAACUUCUUUGUGUUGUAUUUUAUAGGAAAAUUUAAAAUAAAAAGUAUAAAUACUACAAUUAACCUAUUUUAAGAAUAAAUAUAAUAUCCUUAAGCAAAAAAAAAAAACAAAAUUAUUAACAUUCUUAUCCCUAAAACUGCUUCUAAAAAAUUUGAAGCGACAACACCGGAGCUUAAGCGCCUGAGCCAUACGCGUAGUGUCAUCUGUCAAACGGCUUUUUGUUUAUUUUCGGGAUUCGUGUAUUUUCUUUAAUUUUUGGUUUCAAAAUGAAAAAGGCCACAUUUUAGUGUUUUUUUUAAUUGCUAGGAUGGCAAAAACUUGUGUCGUUUGUGCCGCAUCAUGAUAAAAAGGUGAUUCAAGCCGAUCUUUUCACAAGAUUUCUGAUGCACUGGUUAAAAACACAGCAGCUGAUAAUUCAGUUAAUUUACCAAGUGAUUUACCCUUCAAAGCUGCAGGGGUAGCUUUCCUGAAGAGUGCAAAAACUUCUUUAGCUUCCAAAAUGGUAUAUAGUACAAAUAGUGAAGCUACUAUAGACAAGUAUGGAUAAUUAAAAUAGAUUAAUAUUCUUGAUACACCAAAUUUUGUAUAAUUACAGAUCUGAUCAUUCAUCAUCAACAAUAACUGCAUCUGAGAUUAAUAGUUCUACAGUAACCGUGGGGUCUAGGUCAACAAUUACUAUUUCUCAUCCAAGCCGUUUUUGUUUAACUGCUGCACAUUCCCUGACUCUGCCAAGGAAAAGGGUAAAAUCAAAAUGAUAUCCUGAGGACCUAAGCACUGAUGAUUCCACCGUUUCAAAAGCUAAAUCACUUGUUACCAAAUUAUAGAAAAAAAAUAAAGAACAAAAAAUUAAAAUUCAAAGAUUGCAAUAAACAAAUUUGCCCCAAAGAAAUUGAAUUAGAUAUCUCAAGUCAUUAUUAAAAUACUUAAGAAAUAAUAACAUGAUUUUCGA
Anthonomus grandis grandis is the source of this 3393-nucleotide long non-coding RNA. RefSeq lists it as uncharacterized. The record is from RefSeq and is a predicted model, not a curated record. NCBI's taxonomy places the organism in Eukaryota, Metazoa, Arthropoda, Insecta, Coleoptera, Curculionidae. The transcript is spliced from 5 exons.